CGAGUGGCGGACGGGUGAGUAACGCGUGAGCAACCUGUCCCAGACAGGGGGAUAACACUUGGAAACAGGUGCUAAUACCGCAUAAGACCACGGUAUCACAUGGUAGUGGGGUAAAAGGAGCAAUCCGGUUUGGGGUGGGCUCGCGUCCGAUUAGAUAGUUGGUGAGGUAACGGCCCACCCAAGUCGACGGAUCGGUAGCCGACCUGAGAGGGUGAUCGGCCACAUUGGAACUGAGAGACGGUCCAAACUCCUACGGGAGGCAGCAGUGGGGAAUAUUGGGCAAUGGGCGAAAGCCUGAACCCCAGCAACGCCGCGUGAGUGAAGAAGGCCUUCGGGUUGUAAAGCUCUGUUAUAGUUGACGAAGGAAGUGACGGUAGGCUAUAAGGAAGCCCCGGCUAACUACGUGCCAGCAGCGGC
RNAcentral lists this ribosomal RNA (417 nucleotides) under uncultured bacterium. RNAcentral's name for it is "bacterial SSU rRNA". It matches the Rfam family "Bacterial small subunit ribosomal RNA", at positions 92 to 518 of the family's 1533-position model. The record is from RNAcentral.